GAAGAGAGAUAUUCAGAAUUGAGCUUCUAACUCAAUAUCUUAGUGGUGUAAUUCCAUUAGCACUUCU
This 67-nucleotide transfer RNA is filed under the name Hemisodorcus derelictus. RNAcentral's name for it is "tRNA-Ser". Lineage: Eukaryota; Metazoa; Arthropoda; Insecta; Coleoptera; Lucanidae. The record is from RNAcentral.